RNAcentral lists this ribosomal RNA (253 nucleotides) under uncultured bacterium. Its description in RNAcentral is "partial 16S ribosomal RNA". It matches the Rfam family "Bacterial small subunit ribosomal RNA", at positions 524 to 776 of the family's 1533-position model. The record is from RNAcentral.
UACGAAGGGUGCAAGCGUUACUCGGAAUUACUGGGCGUAAAGCGUGCGUAGGUGGUGAGUUAAGUCUGUCGUGAAAGCCCCGGGCUCAACCUGGGAAUGGCGAUGGAUACUGGCUCGCUAGAGUGCGGUAGAGGAGAGUGGAAUUCCCGGUGUAGCAGUGAAAUGCGUAGAUAUCGAGAGGAACACCAGUGGCGAAGGCGAGUCUCUGGACGACUCCUGACACUGAGGCACGAAAGCUGGGGGAGCAAACAGG